RNAcentral lists this ribosomal RNA (440 nucleotides) under uncultured bacterium. RNAcentral describes it as "partial 16S ribosomal RNA". It matches the Rfam family "Bacterial small subunit ribosomal RNA", at positions 338 to 795 of the family's 1533-position model. The record is from RNAcentral.
CCUACGGGCGGCAGCAGUGGGGAAUAUUGGACAAUGGGGGGAACCCUGAUCCAGCGACGCCGCGUGAGUGAAGAAGGAUUUCGGUAUGUAAAGUUCUAUCAGCAGGGAAGAAAAUGACGGUAUCUGACUAAGAAGCACCGGCUAACUACGUGCCAGCAGCCGCGGUAAUACGUAGGGGGCAAGCGUUAUCCGGAGUUACUGGGGGUAAAGGGUGCGUAGACGGGGCAGCAAGUCGGAUGUGAAAUGGCGUGGCGCAACCCCUGAACUGCAUUGGAAACUGUUGAACUGGAGUGCAGGAGAGGUAAGCGGAAUUCCUAGUGUAGCGGUGAAAUGCGUAGAUAUUAGGAGGAACACCAGUGGCGAAGGCGGCUUACUGGACUGUUACUGACGUUGAGGCUCGAAAGCGUGGGGAGCAAACAGGAUUAGAUACCCUUGUAGUU